UAUUUUUAAUUGACAUAGACCAAGUCAUCUAGUAAAAUGAGGAUGAUGCAUCGGAAUAGCC
This 61-nucleotide transfer RNA is filed under the name Ampelopsis aconitifolia. Its description in RNAcentral is "partial tRNA-Phe". The record is from RNAcentral. Lineage: Eukaryota; Viridiplantae; Streptophyta; Magnoliopsida; Vitales; Vitaceae.